CCUGCCUUUAGAAGCUUUGCAGACAUGGCUGCUGUGCCACACGGACGUCAGUGGGUGGCAGAGAGGAGAAAGGCUUUGUCUACGAUCGGUGUUCUGACCUAUGAAUAUCUGAAUGAUUAGUAACAAUAUUCC
Molecule: small nucleolar RNA, 132 nt
Organism: Rattus norvegicus (Norway rat)
Lineage: Eukaryota; Metazoa; Chordata; Mammalia; Rodentia; Muridae
Product: small nucleolar RNA SNORA17
Source: Ensembl